UUUUCCAUGUAUCUCUAUUGAAGAAGUGCUUAAGCCAAGAAUGUUAUACCUUCCACUGAACUUUCGGAUGUUGAUGCGGAGGGACAUUUCAAGGUUUCACCUUUUUCGAUUCUGGAGCGUCGCGUGGUCAAUCGUGAUGGUAAGGAGGUUCCUCAGGCUCUGGUACAAUGGUCUCAUGACGGUGCUGAUGCUUCAAGCUGGGAGGAUCUUAAAUUCCUUCGUCGUAAGUUUUCGGAUUUCGAUCCUUGCGGACAAGGAUCUAACAUUGGAGGGAGUAUUGUGAUGGGAAUUGAUUUGGACGAUUCUGCUGUAUGUUGUAAACAAGAGAAU
This 330-nucleotide long non-coding RNA is filed under the name Salvia miltiorrhiza (redroot sage). RNAcentral describes it as "long non-coding RNA (SMIL_LNC011732)". The record is from RNAcentral. Lineage: Eukaryota; Viridiplantae; Streptophyta; Magnoliopsida; Lamiales; Lamiaceae.